Molecule: unclassified non-coding RNA, 329 nt
Filed under: soil metagenome
Description: partial contains 5.8S ribosomal RNA, internal transcribed spacer 2, and large subunit ribosomal RNA
Rfam family: 5.8S ribosomal RNA (bases 1-120)
Source: RNAcentral
GAUGAAGAACGCAGCGAAAUGCGAUAAGUAAUGUGAAUUGCAGAAUUCAGUGAAUCAUCGAAUCUUUGAACGCACAUUGCGCCCCUUGGUAUUCCGAGGGGCAUGCCUGUUCGAGCGUCAUUAUAACCCCUCAAGCUCAGCUUGGUGUUAGGGCCUGCUGCACUGGCAGCCCUUAAAAUCAGUGGCGGCGCCAUCUGGCUCUAAGCGUAGUAAUUCUUCUCGCUAUGGAGUCCUGGUGGAUGCUUGCCAUCAACCCCCAAUUUUUCUAUGGUUGACCUCGGAUCAGGUAGGGAUACCCGCUGAACUUAAGCAUAUCAAUAAGCGGAGGA